This 493-nucleotide long non-coding RNA is filed under the name Trifolium pratense (red clover). Its description in RNAcentral is "long non-coding RNA (TPRA_LNC002876)". Lineage: Eukaryota; Viridiplantae; Streptophyta; Magnoliopsida; Fabales; Fabaceae. The record is from RNAcentral.
AAAAGCGGCCGGCCUAUAUAUAUCACCCAAACUCAACUAUAUAAAUUUGAAUCCUAACAGUACCCCACAUCUCUAUAUAAGAUUGUCAAGCAUGAUAUCAUCCAACAGAGAAAGAAAACCAUAUAUAUGAUAAUAUAACCUCUCCAUUCUUUCAUCCGUUGGCACUAUUCAAAUGACAUUUACUGACUCUGUUGGCAUCACCCAAUCACAUGAAGGUCACUAUUAGUAACAACCUAUAAUUUUUUAUGUGUUAGUAUUUGACUGACAGUUAUCACGGAAAAUAUUGGUUUGAACGAUUCCACUUUGCUAUAGUAACUAGUAAAAGACCAGUGUAUUCGCACAGGUCGCAUAACAUUACCCAUAAUUAUUAAUUUUGCAGUAAACUCCAAAUUGUAUAUUCAAAUUUCUUAUCUUACAUGCAUUACCAAAUUACCAUGCUAUCUUAAAUAAAUUGUAAUCUAAAAUCCAAUUUUCCCACAAAUUUGGCAUGACC